AUGGAGGAUAGGAAACGCCUCAUAGCGUAACUGUGGUUUGCUUUACUCACAGGACUGUUUAUUAGAGCUGCGGGCAGGAACUAUUAACACAGAG
RNAcentral lists this small nucleolar RNA (94 nucleotides) under Chinchilla lanigera (long-tailed chinchilla). Lineage: Eukaryota; Metazoa; Chordata; Mammalia; Rodentia; Chinchillidae. The record is from RNAcentral.